GCGGGCGUAACUCAACGGUAGAGUGUCAGCUUCCCAAGCUGAAGGUCGCGGGUUCAAAUCCCGUCGCCCGCUCCA
RNAcentral lists this transfer RNA (75 nucleotides) under bacterium BMS3Abin08. Its description in RNAcentral is "tRNA-Gly". It matches the Rfam family "tRNA". From Rfam's summary of the family: Transfer RNA (tRNA) molecules are approximately 80 nucleotides in length. The record is from RNAcentral. RNAcentral also lists the same sequence under 3 other names.